Gallus gallus (chicken) is the source of this 583-nucleotide long non-coding RNA. RefSeq lists it as uncharacterized. NCBI's taxonomy places the organism in Eukaryota, Metazoa, Chordata, Aves, Galliformes, Phasianidae. The transcript is spliced from 4 exons. The record is from RefSeq and is a predicted model, not a curated record.
CUAAUGAUGUCACAGAAGGGCAGAGGAAAAGAGCCGCUGAAGCCAUGUAGACAUCUGCUGAAAGGGUCCUAGCUGUGAAUUUCCAUAGAGAGAACCAGCUGGCUUUAACACAAAGAAAUGAGAAAGUACAAGGCCAGCCAGAACAAGGUCAUCUCUAUGUGGGCAGAGAGCAAAGCAGCUAACACUGACGUGAACCACAGCACUUCAGCAGGCAGGGAAAAACUCUAAUCAACGUCAGAUUGUUACAGAUAGAGCACAGGAGUUCCAUACUGCACUGGAAUACUGCUCAGUAUUGGGUGUUUAUUGAGAGUUCCAAGUUGUUUUUCCAAGCGUCUACUAUCAUCAAGCAGCUCUCAAACGGAGUAUGUUGUCUUUUGGCAAAUUUCCCACGUACAGAAGCAUCAACAAUACAGCAAUAUCUCGAAAUCAAACAGAAUGUGUAAGUCAGAGCCACAUCGUUGUGUCUCAAAGCUGUAACUGCUCUCCCAAGCACCCAUUGACCACAGCAAUUCUGGCCUUGGAUGAUCCUCCACUGACAUGACACCAUCUACUGGCUGCUGAGCUUUCCAACUAAAGCACAAAG